AGAGGGGGACAACUUGUGGAAACGCAAGCUAAUACCGCAUACGUCCUACGGGAGAAAGCAGGGGAUCUUCGGACCUUGCGCUAAGAGAUGAGCCCGCGUCGGAUUAGCUAGUUGGUGGGGUAAAGGCCUACCAAGGCGACGAUCCGUAACUGGUCUGAGAGGAUGAUCAGUCACACUGGAACUGAGACACGGUCCAGACUCCUACGGGAGGCAGCAGUGGGGAAUAUUGGACAAUGGGGGCAACCCUGAUCCAGCCAUGCCGCGUGUGUGAAGAAGGCCUUCGGGCUGUAAAGCACUUUAAGUUGGGAGGAAAGGGUGCUGGCUAAUAUCCAGUAUCUAUGACGUUACCGACAGAAUAAGCACCGGCUAACUCCGUGCCAGCAGCCGCGGUAAUACAGAGGGUGCAAGCGUUAAUCGGAAUUACUGGGCGUAAAGCGCGCGUAGGCGGCUAGUUAAGCUAGAUGUGAAAUCCCUGGGCUCAACCUGGGAACUGCAUUUAGAACUGACUGGCUAGAGUGCAGAAGAGGAGUGUGGAAUUUCCGGUGUAGCGGUGAAAUGCGUAGAGAUCGGAAGGAACAUCAGUGGCGAAGGCGACACUCUGGUCUGACACUGACGCUGAGGUGCGAAAGCGUGGGUAGCAAACAGGAUUAGAUACCCUGGUAGUCCACGCUGUAAACGAUGUCUACUGCCGUUGGCCUCCUUGAGGGGUUAGUGGCGCAGCUAACGCGAUAAGUAGACCGCCUGGGGAGUACGGCCGCAAGGUUAAAACUCAAAUGAAUUGACGGGGGCCCGCACAAGCGGUGGAGCAUGUGGUUUAAUUCGACGCAACGCGAAGAACCUUACCUACUCUUGACAUCCUGUGAACCUUGUAGAGAUAUGAGGGUGCCUUCGGGAGCACAGAGACAGGUGCUGCAUGGCUGUCGUCAGCUCGUGUCGUGAGAUGUUGGGUUAAGUCCCGUAACGAGCGCAACCCUUGUCCUUAGUUGCUAGCAGGUUAAGCUGAGAACUCUAAGGAGACUGCCGGUGACAAACCGGAGGAAGGUGGGGACGACGUCAAGUCAUCAUGGCCCUUACGAGUAGGGCUACACACGUGCUACAAUGGCCGGUACAGACGGUUGCCAACCCGCGAGGGGGAGCUAAUCUGAGAAAACCGGUCGUAGUCCAGAUUGGAGUCUGCAACUCGACUCCAUGAAGUCGGAAUCGCUAGUAAUCGUGAAUCAGAAUGUCACGGUGAAUACGUUCCCGGGCCUUGUACACACCGCCCGUCACACCAUGGGAGUGGGUUGCACCAGAAGUAGCUAGUCUAACCGCAAGGGGGACGGUUACCACGGUGUGAUUCAUGACUG
This 1346-nucleotide ribosomal RNA is filed under the name metagenome. Its description in RNAcentral is "bacterial SSU rRNA". It matches the Rfam family "Bacterial small subunit ribosomal RNA", at positions 135 to 1477 of the family's 1533-position model. The record is from RNAcentral.